UACGGAGGGGGCUAGCGUUGUUCGGAAUUACUGGGCGUAAAGCGCACGUAGGCGGCUUUGCAAGUUAGAGGUGAAAGCCCAGGGCUUAACCCUGGAAUUGCCUUUAAAACUGCAUCGCUAGAAUUGUGGAGAGGUAAGUGGAAUUCCGAGUGUAGAGGUGAAAUUCGUAGAUAUUCGGAAGAACACCAGUGGCGAAGGCGACUUACUGGACACAUAUUGACGCUGAGGUGCGAAAGCGUGGGGAGCAAACAGG
Molecule: ribosomal RNA, 253 nt
Filed under: uncultured bacterium
Lineage: Bacteria
Description: partial 16S ribosomal RNA
Rfam family: Bacterial small subunit ribosomal RNA
Source: RNAcentral